GCACCCCGUCCUUCCGGCCUCCACCCAGACUCGGAGAAGUGGCCCCACAUUCCUGGUAACCCGACUCCCCAGACGGGCGGGGUGGCGAGCGCAGUGGCCACGUGACCGCGCCCCGCGAACCGGGUGCAGAAAACUGGGGGACAGUGCAGCUGCUUUCCUGAACUGCAGACUUGUAGCAUCAGUGUGUCGCCAGGGCCCACAGGCAGAUCUGCAGUACAGGCAUCUUCAGCCCAACUUGCCACACAUGGUCACAAAGCUCCCUCAUGAUGACUAAAGAACCGAACAGAAUGUGGUUUUCCCAGGUAAGCCAACAUUUUCAUAUUUUUUAAUAGUGUGGAACAUCAGCCAAUAGGAUUU
RNAcentral lists this long non-coding RNA (357 nucleotides) under Chinchilla lanigera (long-tailed chinchilla). RNAcentral's name for it is "lncRNA (ENSCLAG00000028557.1)". Lineage: Eukaryota; Metazoa; Chordata; Mammalia; Rodentia; Chinchillidae. The record is from RNAcentral.